AGAUGACAAUAUUUGCUUACUGCUCCCCUGGGAUAGAAGGUGUUCUAAAGAAGAAACAACAGAAAGAUCCGGGAAUGCAGAUUGAGAUACUAAUAUCCAAAUGGAAAUUCAGGUCUUUCUGAAAACAUCUCAAGAUAUCAUCUAGAUUGUCUUUUCCCACAAGCCUCUAUGCUGUUGAAGAUCUCCAUGAAUUUAUUUUGAUGGAUAUUGGUAAGU
Ochotona princeps (American pika) is the source of this 216-nucleotide long non-coding RNA. RefSeq lists it as uncharacterized. The record is from RefSeq and is a predicted model, not a curated record. The transcript has 3 exons. NCBI's taxonomy places the organism in Eukaryota, Metazoa, Chordata, Mammalia, Lagomorpha, Ochotonidae.